RNAcentral lists this long non-coding RNA (329 nucleotides) under Panax ginseng (ginseng). RNAcentral's name for it is "long non-coding RNA (PGIN_LNC014021)". Lineage: Eukaryota; Viridiplantae; Streptophyta; Magnoliopsida; Apiales; Araliaceae. The record is from RNAcentral.
AUUAAUGCUUUUGUUAUUCGUUUGAAAGUUUGAAAGUCAGAAACCUAGGAAUAGGGUUGUGCUACUAUAUAAAGUUAAAAUAAUUUUUAUGAUGACUAUAUAAUUCAUGCUCUUCUAUCUUGUCUAUAUUUCUUUCUGGGUAUUAAGCCAAAUACUUACAAGUUGGUGUUCUAUUGCAGUACUAUUUUGAUACUCUCUUCCCCCGCAUCCCAGUUCCUGUACUGCGGUUGAUCGUAGCAUUGGUGGUGUUUGGAGUAGUAGGGGCAGUGCUGGGAAGGACUCCUGUGGUGAAAUCUUGUGCUAGGGUGCUGAUUGGAGGCUGGAUGGCU